RNAcentral lists this ribosomal RNA (2574 nucleotides) under Stenotrophomonas maltophilia. Its description in RNAcentral is "bacterial LSU rRNA". It matches the Rfam family "Bacterial large subunit ribosomal RNA", at positions 353 to 2925 of the family's 2925-position model. Lineage: Bacteria; Pseudomonadati; Pseudomonadota; Gammaproteobacteria; Lysobacterales; Lysobacteraceae. RNAcentral also lists the same sequence under 1 other name. The record is from RNAcentral.
GGCCAUAGAAGGUGAUAGCCCUGUAUCUGAAAGGGCCAUUCCAGUGAAGACGAGUAGGGCGGGGCACGUGAAACCCUGUCUGAACAUGGGGGGACCAUCCUCCAAGGCUAAAUACUACUGACCGACCGAUAGUGAACCAGUACCGUGAGGGAAAGGCGAAAAGAACCCCGGAGAGGGGAGUGAAAUAGAACCUGAAACCGUGUGCGUACAAGCAGUAGGAGCUCCGCAAGGAGUGACUGCGUACCUUUUGUAUAAUGGGUCAGCGACUUACUGUUCGUGGCAAGCUUAACCGUAUAGGGGAGGCGAAGGGAAACCGAGUCUGAUAAGGGCGCAUAGUCGCGGGCAGUAGACCCGAAACCGGGUGAUCUAGUCAUGCCCAGGGUGAAGGUGCGGUAACACGCACUGGAGGCCCGAACCCACUCCCGUUGCAAAGGUAGGGGAUGAGGUGUGAUUAGGAGUGAAAAGCUAAUCGAACCCGGAGAUAGCUGGUUCUCCUCGAAAGCUAUUUAGGUAGCGCCUCAUAUGUAUCCUCUCGGGGGUAGAGCACUGUUAUGGCUAGGGGGUCAUCGCGACUUACCAAACCAUUGCAAACUCCGAAUACCGAGACGGACUGUAUGGGAGACACACGGCGGGUGCUAACGUCCGUCGUGAAAAGGGAAACAACCCAGACCCACAGCUAAGGUCCCAAAUUCACUGCUAAGUGGAAAACCAUGUGGAAAGGCACAGACAGCCAGGAGGUUGGCUUAGAAGCAGCCACCCUUUAAAGAAAGCGUAAUAGCUCACUGGUCGAGUCGGUCUGCGGGGAAGAUUUAACGGGGCUAAGCAGUGAACCGAAGCUUGGGGUGCAUACUUUGUAUGCGCGGUAGAGGAGCGUUCCGUAAGCCGUUGAAGGUGGAUUGAGAAGUCUGCUGGAGGUAUCGGAAGUGCGAAUGCUGACAUGAGUAACGAUAAUGCGGGUGAAAAACCCGCACGCCGAAAGCCCAAGGUUUCCUUGCGCAACGUUAAUCGGCGCAGGGUGAGUCGGCCCCUAAGGCGAGGACGAAAGUCGUAGUCGAUGGGAAGCAGGUUAAUAUUCCUGCACCUCGCGUAAGUGCGAUGGAGGGACGGAGAAGGUUAGGUGUACCAGGCGUUGGUUGUCCUGGGGAAAGGCGGUAGGUUUGGAUCUUUGGCAAAUCCGGGAUCCUUUAAGACCGAGCACCGAGACGAGCCUUUAAGGCGAAGUCACUGAUACCACGCUUCCAGGAAAAGCUCCUAAGCUUCAGCUUACGCAGACCGUACCGUAAACCGACACAGGUGGGUAGGAUGAGAAUUCUCAGGCGCUUGAGAGAACUCGGGUGAAGGAACUAGGCAACAUGGCACCGUAACUUCGGGAGAAGGUGCACCCUUUUUGGUGGCUCGUGCGAGCUAUAGCUGAAGAGGGUCGCAGUAACCAGGCCGCUGCGACUGUUUAUCAAAAACACAGCACUCUGCAAACACGAAAGUGGACGUAUAGGGUGUGACGCCUGCCCGGUGCUGGAAGGUUAAUUGAUGGGGUCAGCCGCAAGGCGAAGCUCUUGAUCGAAGCCCCAGUAAACGGCGGCCGUAACUAUAACGGUCCUAAGGUAGCGAAAUUCCUUGUCGGGUAAGUUCCGACCUGCACGAAUGGCGUAACGACAGCGGCGCUGUCUCCACCCGAGACUCAGUGAAAUUGAAAUCGCUGUGAAGAUGCAGCGUUCCCGUGGCAAGACGGAAAGACCCCGUGAACCUUUACUAUAGCUUUACACUGAACGUUGAGUUCGUCUGUGUAGGAUAGGUGGGAGGCUAUGAAACCAUGGCGCUAGCUGUGGUGGAGCCAUCCUUGAAAUACCACCCUGUCGUGCUUGACGUUCUAACCUGGGCCCAUUAUCUGGGUCGGGGACCGUGUAUGGUGGGUAGUUUGACUGGGGCGGUCUCCUCCUAAAGAGUAACGGAGGAGCUCGAAGGUACGCUCAGCGCGGUCGGACAUCGCGCACUGUGUGCAAAGGCAUAAGCGUGCUUGACUGCAAGAUCGACGGAUCAAGCAGGUAGGAAACUAGGACUUAGUGAUCCGGUGGUUCUGUAUGGAAGGGCCAUCGCUCAACGGAUAAAAGGUACUCCGGGGAUAACAGGCUGAUACCGCCCAAGAGUUCAUAUCGACGGCGGUGUUUGGCACCUCGAUGUCGGCUCAUCACAUCCUGGGGCUGUAGUCGGUCCCAAGGGUAUGGCUGUUCGCCAUUUAAAGUGGUACGCGAGCUGGGUUCAGAACGUCGUGAGACAGUUCGGUCCCUAUCUGCCAUGGGCGUUGGAGAUUUGAGAGGGGCUGCUCCUAGUACGAGAGGACCGGAGUGGACGAACCUCUGGUGUUCCGGUUGUCACGCCAGUGGCAUUGCCGGGUAGCUAUGUUCGGAAGCGAUAACCGCUGAAAGCAUCUAAGCGGGAAGCGCGCCUCAAGAUGAGAUCUCCCGGGGCACAAGCCCCCUGAAGGAACCAUGUAGACUACGUGGUUGAUAGGUCAGGUGUGUAAGUACAGCAAUGUAUUGAGCUAACUGAUACUAAUGAUCCGUGCGGCUUGACCAU